This is a non-coding RNA of Anolis carolinensis (green anole), 272 nucleotides long. It matches the Rfam family "7SK RNA". From Rfam's summary of the family: 7SK was discovered as an abundant small nuclear RNA in the mid-70s but a possible function has only recently been suggested. NCBI's taxonomy places the organism in Eukaryota, Metazoa, Chordata, Lepidosauria, Squamata, Anolidae. The record is from Rfam.
AGGUGGGAGGGCAAUCUGGCUAUGAUGUUAGUCACCCCGUCUGACUAGAUGGGUGUCCCCUUCCUCCCUCACCACUCCAUGUGCAUCCCUCCCAAAGCUGCACACUAGGUGGAAGAGGACGACGUCCCUGAUACAGGAGUGUACCAAGGUCUCCAGUCUUGGGUCCCAGUAUACAACAGCUGCGCUCCUCUGCUAGAACUGCUGAACAAGCUCAUCUUGUCUGAGAUGUUUACUUACUUACUUACUUACUUAUUAACUUACUUUACUUCUAU